AACGAACGCUGGCGGCAUGCCUAACACAUGCAAGUCGAACGAGAACUUCGGGUCUAGUGGCGCACGGGUGCGUAAAGCGUGGGAAUCUGCCCUUUGGUUCGGAAUAACAGUUGGAAACGACUGCUAAUACCGGUUGAUGACGAAAGUCCAAAGAUUUAUCACCAGAGGAUGAGCCCGCGUAGGAUUAGCUAGUUGGUGUGGUAAAGGCGCACCAAGGCGACGAUCCUUAGCUGGUCUGAGAGGAUGAUCAGCCACACUGGGACUGAGACACGGCCCAGACUCCUACGGGAGGCAGCAGUGGGGAAUAUUGGACAAUGGGAGAAAGCCUGAUCCAGCAAUGCCGCGUGAGUGAUGAAGGCCUUAGGGUUGUAAAGCUCUUUUACCCGGGAUGAUAAUGACAGUACCGGGAGAAUAAGCUCCGGCUAACUCCGUGCCAGCCGCCGCAGUAA
This 449-nucleotide ribosomal RNA is filed under the name uncultured bacterium. Its description in RNAcentral is "partial 16S ribosomal RNA". It matches the Rfam family "Bacterial small subunit ribosomal RNA", at positions 29 to 523 of the family's 1533-position model. The record is from RNAcentral.